AAACUUUUAACAACGGAUCUCUUGGCUCCAGCAUCGAUGAAGAACGCAGCGAAACGCGAUAUGUAAUGUGAAUUGCAGAAUUCAGUGAAUCAUCGAAUCUUUGAACGCACAUGGCGCCUUCCAGUAUCCUGGGAGGCAUGCCUGUCCGAGCGUCGUUUCAACCCUCGAGCCCCCGUGGCCCGGCGUUGGGG
Molecule: ribosomal RNA, 191 nt
Filed under: Sarocladium strictum
Lineage: Eukaryota; Fungi; Ascomycota; Sordariomycetes; Hypocreales; Sarocladiaceae
Also listed under: 2 other names
Description: 5.8S ribosomal RNA
Rfam family: 5.8S ribosomal RNA (bases 2-155)
About the family: 5.8S ribosomal RNA (5.8S rRNA) is a component of the large subunit of the eukaryotic ribosome.
Source: RNAcentral